RNAcentral lists this long non-coding RNA (288 nucleotides) under Manacus vitellinus (golden-collared manakin). RNAcentral describes it as "lncRNA (ENSMVIG00005004171.1)". Lineage: Eukaryota; Metazoa; Chordata; Aves; Passeriformes; Pipridae. The record is from RNAcentral.
GUCUUUUCGUCCUGUCCAAAUCCAGCAAGGGGAAUUACAUCCUGAAGUAUCUAAAAGGCCAGCAUGUAAAAGGCUCCAUAGCUGUUGAUCAAAUCAUAAGUAUUGAAGUUGGCAUAAGAAAUUUUGAAAUUAUGGAAACAGUGAGGAAGAUGUUUAAAUGCCUUCCUGAGCAGGUGAUGUCCAUCGGUACUGGAAACAGAUGUUACUACCUCAUUGGGGACAGCAGGCAGGAAACAGAGGACUGGGUGACUCUGAUAUCUUCAGUCUGCAGGGAGGACAAACAAGGUG